UACGUAGGGUCCGAGCGUUGUCCGGAAUUACUGGGCGUAAAGAGCUCGUAGGUGGUUUGUCGCGUUGUUCGUGAAAACUCACAGCUUAACUGUGGGCGUGCGGGCGAUACGGGAAGACUGGAGUACUGCAGGGGAGACUGGAAUUCCUGGUGUAGCGGUGGAAUGCGCAGAUAUCAGGAGGAACACCGGUGGCGAAGGCGGGUCUCUGGGCAGUAACUGACGCUGAGGAGCGAAAGCGUGGGGAGCGAACAGG
RNAcentral lists this ribosomal RNA (253 nucleotides) under uncultured bacterium. Its description in RNAcentral is "partial 16S ribosomal RNA". It matches the Rfam family "Bacterial small subunit ribosomal RNA", at positions 524 to 776 of the family's 1533-position model. The record is from RNAcentral.